GGGAACUUGGUCUGAUGGUAAAACCCUUGACUCUAGACCAUGAGGUCUUUGGUUCAAAUCUCAAAUCUCCUA
Non-coding RNA from Eragrostis curvula (weeping love grass), 72 nucleotides. Lineage: Eukaryota; Viridiplantae; Streptophyta; Magnoliopsida; Poales; Poaceae. The record is from the annotation of a GenBank genome assembly.